GCCUUUAUGGCCACACCAUCCUGAGGGCACGGGAUCUUGACUGAUCUUGGAAGCUAAUCAGAGUAGGGCCUGGCUAGUACUUGGGAUGCGAGACCCCCUGGGAAUACUGGGUGCUGAAGGCU
Ribosomal RNA from Nomascus leucogenys (northern white-cheeked gibbon), 122 nucleotides. The record is from Ensembl. Lineage: Eukaryota; Metazoa; Chordata; Mammalia; Primates; Hylobatidae.